UAAUACAGAGGGUGCGAGCGUUAAUCGGAAUUACUGGGCGUAAAGCGAGUGUAGGUGGCUCAUUAAGUCACAUGUGAAAUCCCCGGGCUUAACCUGGGAACUGCAUGUGAUACUGGUGGUGCUAGAAUAUGUGAGAGGGAAGUAGAAUUCCAGGUGUAGCGGUGAAAUGCGUAGAGAUCUGGAGGAAUACCGAUGGCGAAGGCAGCUUCCUGGCAUAAUAUUGACACUGAGAUUCGAAAGCGUGGGUAGCAAACAGGAUUAGAUACCCUGGUAGUCCACGCCGUAAACGAUGUCUACUAGCCGUUGGGGUCCUUGAGACUUUAGUGGCGCAGUUAACGCGAUAAGUAGACCGCCUGGGGAGUACGGCCGCAAGGUUA
RNAcentral lists this ribosomal RNA (377 nucleotides) under uncultured bacterium. Its description in RNAcentral is "bacterial SSU rRNA". It matches the Rfam family "Bacterial small subunit ribosomal RNA", at positions 521 to 896 of the family's 1533-position model. The record is from RNAcentral.